ACUUACCUGACCAUUGACCAUGCUGGCUGCCCAACAUCUGGCUGCUCCUGGCGCAGGCUUACCUUUACCUCUUGUUUUCCUGGUUUUUUAGAAACAGGCACCUUAAAGGCUGUGAUUCUAUGCAUAGUUACUCAGUUGUUAAGCUCCAUGCUUUCUCCUGGGAAAUUAUGUAUCUGAUCGCAGGCUAUACAUUGCUCAGAAGCAAGUUCCGUUUAAUUCAAUGAGGCUUGUUCAGCCCAUGGUAAGUUUCUAAAGCCUGGGAACUGCAAUUCAUAGCUGUCAACUUACAGAUUUGAAAAUAAGGGACCAGCAGCCUCGAAAAUAAGGGAUCAGCAGCCAAAAUAAAGGAUUUUAGUCGGCCAGCAGCCAAACGAAGCCUCAAGCGGUGGUUCCCACAGCGCAGCAACCCGGCAAAGGGGAUGCAGCAAGGAAAACCACCGUCACCUCUCCGCUGGGAAGCGCUGAGCAAAGGCGAGUCCCCAGGCAAUGCGGCCGAUUUGAUCGGCACAAGGCAUGCAAGCUCCACCCCCCAGUCAUUCUUAGACUCCUUAUUGGGUGAGCAACGCAGCCAAGCAACACAGUUGGAGCCUCCCUCCUCCCUGGCCGGCAGGGAGGGAGGGAGAGGAGCUGCUUCCUUUGAAACCCGAGAAAUUUAAGGGACAUCAUCAGUAAGGGACAGCAGCGGGACAUGGUGCUGGGAUAAGGGACUGUCCUGCCAAACAAGGGACGGUUGACAGCUAUGCUGCAAUUUCCCAUUCAGGGAGCUACAGUUCUCAGCACUCUUAAACCAUGAUUCUGGGGUUCUUUGGGGGAAAGCUGUUUGCUUUAAAUUUAUGGCGUGGCUCUGCUGGCAGGCUGCAGUCAGUGAGACUUGCUUCUGAGCAAACAUACACAGGACUGCACUGUAAAUAUAUUUCCCUACGACCACUUGUUUGCUCUUUGAUCCUCACAUGGAGACAUUUGGGGGGAUUUAUUCCAGUUGGAAAUUCAGGUGACUGUGUUCACGUACCACCACUGAUGGACACAGGGUUCUAUCAGACAUCAGUAAUACUCAAAAUAUGAGUCAUUGAAAUUAACUUACAUGACUCACAGAGGUCGGUCAGUUUGAAUGGGUCUACUCAACCCACAGACGUUAAGACCUCCCCCCAAAACAAUACAAAUGUGCAUUCCCCCCUUUGCAAAUUUUAGAUAUAAACCUUCCAAGAAAAGUUUUAUUAAUGCAAAAAUGGAGGGGAGGCGGAACUGACAUUCUAGAUCUUUGAGUUCAGUCUUUUCUUUUGGCUGAAAUUUAGGAUUCCAGAAAAAAAGGGCUAAAGGAAAAUUUACAAAAACCGAAGAAGAAAAGACAUUUACAAAGUCUUGGAGAUCUUCAUCUCUUGAAAGGGCUGACGGUGGGGCCAUCUGUCACUAAAGACUUCAUAUGUUUUAAAAUAACUUCUUGACUCAUGGAGACAUGUAGUUCUGCAUUAUGCUGUUGAAAUCACAGUGGUUCGGUGGGAGACAAAACAGCUCUGGAAAAAACAGUUGUGAGUUUUAGAAAUGUGGGUGUUUCAGACUAGCAUCUUAUAAUAAUAAUUUAGCAAUUCAACACAUUUGUGACCCUUUUGGUGUUAUAGGUAGAUACGGAAGCAUACAGCUGUCAAUAAAAUAUAUCUGUAAUUA
This is a long non-coding RNA of Podarcis raffonei (Aeolian wall lizard), 1662 nucleotides long. RefSeq lists it as uncharacterized. The transcript has 2 exons. NCBI's taxonomy places the organism in Eukaryota, Metazoa, Chordata, Lepidosauria, Squamata, Lacertidae. The record is from RefSeq and is a predicted model, not a curated record.